Long non-coding RNA from Solenopsis invicta (red fire ant), 2626 nucleotides. RefSeq lists it as uncharacterized. The record is from RefSeq and is a predicted model, not a curated record. NCBI's taxonomy places the organism in Eukaryota, Metazoa, Arthropoda, Insecta, Hymenoptera, Formicidae. The transcript is spliced from 2 exons.
AACUGCAAUAAUAAAUAAAAACGUUCCAUCUAGUAAAAAUGUCUUGAUCAAAAUCCGAUCGUACAAAGCUACAUAAAAAAAAUAUAUCGGUCAUAUCCUCGGCAUAUCUCACAAUUUUUCAAUCCCAUUUCAUACAUUUCUCACCAAAUAGUAGAAUAUAAAAAAAAUAGCCAGCAAUAAUUCAGAAAUAUUCUAUACACUCUUAAUAAACCGUAUAAAAAACAUGUGAAAACAACAUAGGCAAAUUUCGACAUGCUUUUCGUAAUCCAUCAACAUAUUAGAGUGUGAGCGUAACAUAUUUAUGAUGAAAUAAAUAAAUUCUUAAGCAUACUGACAAUCAUAUUUUUGCGAAGGAAAUUUCUUGCGUGUUUUUAAUUUUCUCAUAAAAAAAACGCCCUCGACUUUUUUUUAUUUCACAGUUCUAAAUGUACUAUACAUUUUUAUGUUUCCAUAUACAAUGCUGAGAAAUGAGAGAAUCGAAGUUUUGCUUUUCUUACAAUUAUGUAAUUAUGGUGACAUUACUUCACAAAGUUGUCUGUCACGUCUAGAGAUUUUUUAUUUUACGACAGAGAUUCAUUCGUGCGGUGAAUCAAUUGUGAAAGGAGGGAGUGCAACUAUCGGCAAGUGAAGAAUAAACAAAGUCACAAAACAUGCUCGGGACGCAAUGUGAACUUUACGUACGCGACCCAGAAAUUGUUUUGCUGAGAAUCGCUUAAUUUUUUUCGUUCGCACUAAUUGCCUCGCUGACGCCAAUUAUCCAACACACCGUUCGUCGCUCUAAUCCGCUGUUCUAAUUUGGCGCAUCUCUGCAUCUCCUUACUAUCCAUCCGAAAUACCGAUUCACGUUAAAUCUUCGCUAUAUACACGCCGCAAUACCGUGGCCUCUGCUAUCUCGGAGGGAAGCGAUUGUACACCAUACAUCCUAUCUCCUCAAAAUGGAGCGCAAACAAAUGUCUCCUUCUCUUUCUCCCUCUCUUUCGGACGUCGUUCCUUCUUACAGAGAAGCGAGCGAGUAACUAGGAGAUCCUCGUCGCGCGUAUACUAUCCAUACUCAUACGAGAAGAAGCAUCAUCCGUAGGUGGUGAUGGACUGCGGUGGAAGGAGUGCGCGAGGAAGGGGACAAUUUAAUUAGGGCCAACAAAGAAGCCGCGCGCGCGCCACCGUCGUUCUAUCGCUAUAAUUAAUCUAUAGUCGUCCGGUGUUUGCCUCCUUUCUUUUUGUCCUCCUUGGGGACGAGCGUCGCGACGAGCUUUUCUCUCCCCUAUACGCGAGAGACCUGAUAAAAGAGGACGCAGGCAACCGCUACACGCUCAUCGUUCUCCAUCACCUCCUUUCAAAAAUAUGAUCCAUGGCUUCGAAUGGCGAAAAGUGCGACUCACGUUAGAGCUCGUGUACCACGAUAAAAUGGUGGACGUGUCCAGCUGAGGAACAAAAGAAAUUCACUUAUCGCGAAACUGAGAAUGAGGACAACACGGUGAGUUCAUUAACGAUCGACACCGAAACACUCACUGAGGGUCCGCCAAUGUCGGCUCAUUGUUUUAAAAGUAUCUUCGAGUCGUGGCUGCUCCGACACAUACUAAGUCGCGAUCGGUGGGGGGACAGAGGACUUGAAGAAACACCUGAGUCCAGUUCACGAUCAGAUGGCUUAAGCUUAAGUUUAAAUUUCCAGUCAGAUAUACGUUUCUCGGCCGAUUGACAAUUUACUGGCACACGAGCGGAAGUGUGUGGCAUUAUUUAAUUGAGUUAUCUAGAUGUAUCAUUUACUCCUUUAUCUCUUUUAAUCUUUUUUUUUUUUUUUAUGUAAGUUCUCCCGUAGAGUAAUUUCAAAAUGCUUUAGCUUAGCAUGUACGUAUUACUGUAUUGUGUAAUGAGACUGAAUUCCCACGAGCAGCAAAGAGAAAUCCGCAAAGUCUUGACAAGUCUUAUCUUGCUGAGGAAUUGUGAUAUUCCUGAGACAUAUCCCAUGAGACAUGUGUUGAAACGGGUGCUACCUGGAGAAUAUUUGUCAAAUAUUAUAUUACAUGGUACGUAAUUCCUGGAGCGUUCAAGAUAUUCUCCAGAUGUCACGCACAGAUUUCUUUUAUAAUUUUUACGAAUUUCUUACUCUUAGAUGACAUUUCAAUACCUUUAAUGAUUUGCAAAUGCAUUUUUGUUAUUGCGUGCUUAAAUAAAAAUGAUCAUCGAGAUUGUAUUAUUUUAUAUCAGCGUUUUAAGCGUUUUAAAGUGAAUUGACAGAGAGAAAAAGAGAAAAUGCAUACUGAUAGUUGACUUGUCCAUCAGACACGUGAUUUUACAUCCUGUUUUUUCUACUCGCUAAAAUAAUCGUUCCGUGAAGAAUCGUAAUAAAGAGUCGAGUAUUUCCUUCACUGAGUCUGAAGCUGUACUAGAUUGCAAAGACCGCGAGUUUUUCAUCCGCAUUGGGAGAAACCCGAGCUGCCGUCUUGCGAUAAGAACAAACUUUCAAAGUGCGUUGGCGACGUUAUCAGUUUCGGUUUCAUAAAACGUGACGUUCUUUCACAUGCAACCGCCGCAGUCACCGCCGCGUCAUAUUCUGUGGUCGAUAUCCAAUUUAAAUUACUAUUCAUUGCCAAUGGCGGACGCAAUUUACUUCUUGAUUAGUCUGCAG